Molecule: long non-coding RNA, 340 nt
Organism: Microtus oregoni (creeping vole)
Lineage: Eukaryota; Metazoa; Chordata; Mammalia; Rodentia; Cricetidae
Exons: 4
Source: RefSeq, a predicted model, not a curated record
UGGUAGGCAGCUGAUAAAAGCGCUGCAGUGGACCUGGGAACUGCGCAGCUUGAAUUCGGUUACCUCUGGGGUAACCCGACUGAAAGGCGGAUUCCGUAGCUGAAGGCGUUGCAACAGCUGCUGGCCAGAGGCAGAUCGCAGUAGCAGCUCAUCAAAGCGGAAAUCUGAACUUGAAUUCGGUGCAGCUGAUUGUUAGAGCUGGUCUUGAAGUCCUGAGCUCCAGGAUCUGUGAGGCCCUGUGGACCGAGAUCUACCCUACCCUGGAGGCCAGCUUUCUCCUGGAAGGACACAGGUUGCAGAGGCUGGAAAUACAGGCUCACUCCAGCGUCCUAGCUAGUAU